RNAcentral lists this unclassified non-coding RNA (1133 nucleotides) under Hevea brasiliensis (rubber tree). The record is from RNAcentral. Lineage: Eukaryota; Viridiplantae; Streptophyta; Magnoliopsida; Malpighiales; Euphorbiaceae.
AUUGCUCCAUUCAUGCCUAACCAGGGUCCCUUGAGCAAUUACUGUCAUGUUCAGGUCUUUUCCCCUGAGCCAAAGGAUACUUUCAUGAAGGCUUGGAUCACCUUUGAUGGAAGUCUACACCUGGAAGCUGCAAAAGCUCUGCAACAUAUCCAAGGGAAGGUACUUGCUGGUUGUUUUUUAUGGCAGAAAAUGCAGUGCCAGCAGGUUUUCCACAGUUCUGUAUCAUGCCCUGCUCCUGUUUUUCCAUUCAUUGAGAGGCAGCUAAACUCUAUACUCAAAAGGUUUAUGCAUCGACCUGGUGUGCAUUGCCGUUUAGAAAGGAAUGAAAAUGGCUCCUAUAGAGUGAAGAUAUCUGCUAAUGCAACAAAGAUAGUGGCAGAGUUGAGGAGGCCACUGGAGCAGCUAAUGAAUGGAAAGAUGGUAAAUCAUGGCAGCCUCACCCAAGCAGUUCUGCAGCAUCUUUUCUCCAGUGAUGGCAGAUUACUUAUGAAUUCACUGCAAAAGGAAACUGGAACUUACAUUCUCUUCGAUAGGCAGAACCUCAAUGUUAGGAUCUUUGGUCCAGAGAACAAAAUUGCUCUUGCUGAACACAAGCUCAUAAAAUCCCUUUUAGCUCUCCACGAUAACAAGCAAAUAAAUAUCCCUCUGCAAGGUGGGUUUAUGCCUCACGAUCUUAUGAAAAAAGUAGUUGAGAAAUUUGGACCUGACUUGCAUGGGCUAAAAGAGAAGUUCCCUGAGGCUACAUUUAUGCUUAACACAAGGCGUCAUGUCAUUUCUUUUAGUGGUAAGAGGGAUCUCAGGCCAAGGGUGGAGGAUAUAAUUCAUGAUUUUGCACGAUCCCUUUGUGUCAGUGGAGCUGCUGACCAACCUGAAUUUGAAGCUACUACCUGUCCUAUUUGCUUGUGUGAAGUUGAGGACUGUUACCAGCUUGAAGCAUGCGGACACAAGUUCUGCAGGUCUUGCUUGGUUGAGCAGUUGGAGUCAGCAAUGAGAAGACAUGAUGGUUUCCCUGUACGCUGUGCCCGUGAAGGUUGUGGGAUGCACAUUUGGCUCAUUGAUUUGAAGUCUCUUCUGCCAUGUGAAAUGUUAGAGGACCUUUUCAGGGCCUCUUUGGGGGCAUUUGUUGCAUCUAG